Molecule: long non-coding RNA, 3476 nt
Organism: Prinia subflava (tawny-flanked prinia)
Lineage: Eukaryota; Metazoa; Chordata; Aves; Passeriformes; Cisticolidae
Exons: 7
Source: RefSeq, a predicted model, not a curated record
GAAGGAAGGGCGGGGAGAAUCCAUUGGCAGCUCCGGCCGCGCCCCCGCCGGUGCGCAUGCGCGGUGUGCGCGCGGGAAGGCGCGCGGGGCCCGGGGCCGCCUGAGGCGAUGAGGGGCAGCCCGAGGCGGUGCGGGGCCGCCCGAGGCGAUGAGGGGCCGCCCGCGGCGGUGCGGGGCCGCCCGAGGCGAUGAGGGGCCGCCCGCGGCGGUGCGGGGCAGCCCGAGGCACUGGGGCGGGCCCGGGUCCCCAGUGAAUGGGACCUGCCAUCGUGUUGUGAAGUAAUUGCUGAGUUCUGAAGAGAGUGUUUGAGGCUGUGCUACUCUUCUCAGAAGAGAAAAGGAUAAAGAGAAUCAUUGUUCUAGAAGAAAAUGUAAUUUGAAAGAUACCAGGGACGCUGGGCCGUAGCAGGAUGAAGUUUCAUUAAGUAAGGAGCCGUGCUUUUUCAUUGAGUGAUUUGCUCAGUGCUCUGCAUAAUUCUGCAAGAGUUGUGGAAAGCACCCUGGUAGGAUGGAGUGCCAUAAAGGUGGAGAAGAACCAGAGAAAAGCAUGCAAACCAAUAAGAAUGGAUGUCUGCAACAGAAGAAGAAAAGAAAGAGACGUCUGAUUCUUACAGAGAACUCCUGCGGUUGAACUGAACUUUCAGGGUGAAACCCAACAUGAAGUAAAAUGAAAACAAAAGAGAGGAAUUCAAUCUCCGCUGUCGUCGCUUGAAAAGCCUGGCCCCUCUGUUGCUGAGCGUCGACAGUUCCUCCACCAUGAUAUCUCUGGGCGUGCUGACCUUCUUCCCAAGGUUCAGGCUGGGGGAGACUGCAAUGCAAUGGAUUGCCACUGGAUAUGAGUUAGAAGACCAGCAGAGUUCAGCCCUUUCUGGAGGUGCCUUUCUAGCUCACUGCAGGAACCACAGCCCUGGUGUAAUUCCAGGAAGGAAGCAGAACUCCUGGAAGCCAGCACGGCAGGGUUUGCUGCAGGCUCAUGUUUUACUCCCUACAUGGUGUAUUUCAUGUCGGCAUGCCCUGAGCACUCCCUUCUGCCCCUAGAACUGUUCUCUCCAGACUCAGCAGCAGCCCAGGAGCUGCUAACCCCGAUGUGAGAAGGGCAGGCCGGCGUUUCGGUGUCUGUCCCCUCUCUCCGUGUUUCCCGGAUCAUCUGCUCAGCAUUGCCGGGAAGGUCGGUGCGAUGCUCCCCCACACGGAGUCCCGCCCUGCGGGGUGUCGCUUUCCUCUCAUCCUCUAAACCGAGCAUUUUAUGGGCACUGCUGCUGGUCAGGAACUCACUGUGGCUUACAGGGCAUUGGGAAAACUUCUGGUUAGCAUCAAAGGCCAAGUAGCAUUUUAAAAACUGCUUUGAAAGCCCAAUUUUCCUCCCAGUAAGAUUUGUAAGAGCAGAAUUAGGUCAACAAUGAAUGCCUGUGAAAGUUGCAUCCUUCAUGCAGGAGUUUUAGAAACAGCCAGCAGCUUUCCAAUGGAAAAUAUUCUUUCCUGCUAACAAAAGAUAAUUAGAUGUAAAGAUCACCAGUGGAAUACCACUUAAAUUAUUCUUCCCUCGUGCUUUCCAGCAUUUUCUUGAAGUGGCUGCUGACGAGUGGCUACUCAGGAAAGGAAGGAUUUGCUACUCAUUGUUCUCUAAGGAUGCUAAGACACUUCCUGAAAAAUCCUUCUGGGGGUAAUGCUGAGAGGGACAGUACCCACAAACGAGGUGGGAGGGGAGGGGAAGAGAAGUGUUUCAGUCGCUUCUUGCAUACCUGGGAAAAUACAGACAGCAGGGGCUGGGAUUUGGGAAAGAUGAGCUGAUGAGAAGAAAUUUAAAGAUUCUCAAAGUUAAUUUCUUUAGAACAUUUUAGUCACUUUCAGAGUGUUGAGCAACUCCAAUUUUCUAAAAUUUAUGACAUGGUUUCAUUCCAUGAAACACUGAAUUAUGUAGUACAACCACCGAUUUCCAGAACAUGCUGUUCACCAUGCAUUCAAGCAGGGGCAAUAGGGAGCCCCUUUCAGCUGCAGCAUCCUGUGGCCUUCAGACAGCUCAGCUAUGGAACAGCAACAGGCAGGAGUCAAAGUAUGCUGAGCUAUUUCUAUGGCUGAAGAGAAGACAGCUGGUCAGCCACAAAUAUCAUUCUUACAAGUGCAGUUCCAACAGCCACGCUAUGAAUUAAAAACAGAAGAAUGCAGCUAUGACACGGGAACACUCAGCAGGUCCCCUGCUGAACCAGGAGCAGGAGCUGUGCACUCUGGGGAAGGUAAGCCCUAAUCCUCAGCUACCACUGUCCCCUGAUCCUGUCACACGAUCCAUUACUCAGCCCCAGACAACAGGUACAGACAGGCCAUGCAAAAGUCUGUCAGGAAUAAAAUGAGCACUCCUUGAGAGCACCUAGCUUUGAAGGCAGAUUGCCACUUUGAACUGAUAGGCACUUGGGGAAAGCUCCUUUGUGCAGCUUGCAGGAACUGUGAGGAAUUUCACAUGCUGUGUAGACAUCCCUGGUAGCCAGAGAGGAGUGCCUGUUUUCACCCUUUCCAGGGACACUGCUCUGGUAGCUGUCAUGAUGAAUCCUGAUCCUUUCCUGGUCCUGCCUGUGAGAGGGAGCUGCAGUAGCUCUGGGGGAGCCUUAAGUCUUUACAAGGAGUGUGGGAGUUUCAACACUUUUCGUCCUCUUCUUAUUCACACUGAAGGAAAUUCAGAGUUCACCCUGUCUGAAUUCACAGCCUGGGGAGAAGGUGCUUUCUGUAGAUGGCUCUGAACUCAGGUUGCAUUUCUUACACUGAUGCCAGUUACUGAGCAGGCAUUGGAAUAGACUGAUGUUUGUUCAGUGAGCAGUAAUGCUGACCUGCUUGCAAGUUUGCAUGAAGCUUCCCUGCUCUAAGAAACUCGAUGCAUUUUCAAAGAAAACUGAAAUUCCCUCUCACUAUUUUACAAAGGCAGAAACUGAGACCCAGAGAGCUGUGACUUCCCCCACCUCAUCUAGUGAGGUGAUAACAGCUACAGAAAUAGAACUCAUGACUUCCAGACCCUCUCCUCCUCCUGACCACUAACACAUUUUGCCACCCAAGAAGACCAUUUGCCAUGUCAUCAUCAAGGCAUAUCUGGGUAACACAGUUUCUCCAUCUAUACAGCCUUUGUUUUUUGUAACCCUCACUUCCCUAUCUGUGGGGAAUAACAACACUUCACUGCUUCAAAGGGGUGCAGAGAAUAACUGAGCUCAAGACUCUGCAGUAUGCAUAUAUGGUAGUGGACACCUUGCAAAUAUUAAUACUUACAUUUGCAGGCUGUACUAUUCAUUCUGUGCCUGACUGCUGCUGUUCAAAUUAUAUACAUUAAUUCCUUCAGCUCAAAUUCUCUGUCUUCCUUUUCCAUCCAAGCAGAGUUACAGACAUUAACAACAGGACUAUCAGAACCUCUCAGUAUAAGUCUGCAAAACGAGUGUAUUCAAAGCCAGCAUUUUCCUGGUGAUUCACUGAAUUGCACCAAAGCAUCCUGAGCAUUC